CAAGUCAAUGAAGGAGGGCAGUCAACAAUGAAGAGGUUUUAGAAAAUUUUCUUGCAAUUGGUAAGUCUGAUUUUUCCCAAAUUUUGUAUAUUUUUUAAUUUCUUAUUGAUUGAAAUUUGGAUGAAUUUUUUUAUUAAGAUCUAUGGUUCAAUUAAUAUUUAUUGAGGUUUCAAAUAGCUAUAGUAAUUGAUUAAAUUUUAUUUAGGAUUUUAUUAGGAUUUGAUUUAGAAUUAAGAUUUAGGAUUUAUUGAGGAUUUGAUUAGGAUUUGUCUCAAAUUUGAUUAGAAUUUGUUUAGGAUUUUAUAAGAUUUGAUUAGAAUUUAAGAUUUUAUAAGAUUUGAUUAGAAUUUAAGAUUUUAUUGGAAUUUAAUCUAAAAUAAGGAUUUGGUCUAAGAUUAAAAUUUAAGAUUUAUUUAAGAUUUGAUUAGGAUUUAUUUAAGAUUUGAUUAAGAUUUAUUUAAGAUUUAAUUAGGAUUUAUUUAAGAUUUAGGAUUUUAUUAGGAAUUUGUUGGGAUUGAUUUAAGGUUACAUUAAGAUUUGUUGAAGGUUAAAUUAUCUUAGAUGUAAGCUAUUUUUUAUAAUUAAAUAAAUAAAUAAAUCUAAUUGCUUAU
RNAcentral lists this long non-coding RNA (611 nucleotides) under Physcomitrium patens. Its description in RNAcentral is "long non-coding RNA (PPAT_LNC010232)". Lineage: Eukaryota; Viridiplantae; Streptophyta; Bryopsida; Funariales; Funariaceae. The record is from RNAcentral.